CCGUUCUUAGUUGGUGGAGUGAUCUGUCUGGUUAAUUCCGAUAACGAACGAGACUCUCCUCUGCUAAAUAGUCGGCUGGAUCUUGAAUUGCUGAGUUGCUCAUUGCCACGUUCGCGUGCGCUUAGCUUCCUGUGGCGUGCUCUGGGGUCCCCGUUUGGGUGUGGGGUGUGCUUGGUCUUGUUGUGUGUUGGCUCACUUUGUGGGUUUUUCGCGCUCGAGGCCUUGUUAUGCCUUUUCCUCCUGCGGGCCUGGAUGUUGCGUUCAGUGGGGCGGCGUGUUGUUGGGCGUGUGUCUUUGGCACUCCAAGUCCGUCGGCUCACACCCACGCAAGUGGGUUGUGUGGUGCAAGUUCUUCUUAGAGAGAUUGACGGCUCUGAAGCCGUACGAGAAUGAGAGCAAUAACAGGUCUGUGAUGCCCUCAGAUGCCCUGGGCCGCACGCGCGCUACAAUGCUGGACACAGCAGGUCUAGCCUGCUCCGAGAGGAGCGGGUAACCCUGUCAAAGUCCUGAGUUGUGUAUCGGGCAUCACACUCGUGGUGCAUUGGGCGUGCUUGGGCCUGGGGCUUGCAAUUCUUUCCCACAAACAAGGAAUGCCUUGUAGUGGCGAGUCACUGAGCUCGCUGUGACUCAGUCCCUGCCCUUUGUACACACCGCCCGUCGCUACUACCGAUUGGGUGUACCAGUGAGAACCUUGGACUGGCGUCCGGUGCCUCGCGCACCUGGGUCUGACGGAAAGAGGUUCGAACUGGUGCACUUAGAGGAAGUAAAAGUCGUAACAAGGUUUCCGUAGGUGAACCUGCGGAAGGAUC
This 809-nucleotide ribosomal RNA is filed under the name Hyalella spinicauda. RNAcentral describes it as "SSU rRNA". It matches the Rfam family "Eukaryotic small subunit ribosomal RNA", at positions 1288 to 1827 of the family's 1831-position model. The record is from RNAcentral. Lineage: Eukaryota; Metazoa; Arthropoda; Malacostraca; Amphipoda; Hyalellidae.